GACAGAGGGGGCAAGCGUUGUCCGGAUUGACUGGGCGUAAAGGGCCCGCAGGUGGUUUGGCACGUGUGGCGUGAAAUCGGACGGCUUAACCGUCCGCCGCCGUCGCAUACGGCCUCACUCGAGCGUUGCAGAGGUGCGUGGAAUUGCCGGUGUAGUGGUGAAAUGCGUAGAGAUCGGCAGGAACACCAAGGGGGAAGCCAGCGCACUGGGCAACUGCUGACACUCAGGGGCGAGAGCGUGGGGAGCGAACCGG
This 253-nucleotide ribosomal RNA is filed under the name uncultured bacterium. Its description in RNAcentral is "partial 16S ribosomal RNA". It matches the Rfam family "Bacterial small subunit ribosomal RNA", at positions 524 to 776 of the family's 1533-position model. The record is from RNAcentral.